CAGCCGCCACGGGAAUACGGAGGGUGCAAGCGUUAAUCGGAAUUACUGGGCGUAAAGCGCGCGCAGGCGGUCUGACAAGUCAGAUGUGAAAUCCCCGGGCUUAACCUGGGAACUGCAUUUGAAACUGUCAGGCUGGAGUCUUGUAGAGGGGGGUAGAAUUCCAGGUGUAGCGGUGAAAUGCGUAGAGAUCUGGAGGAAUACCGGUGGCGAAGGCGGCCCCCUGGACAAAGACUGACGCUCAGGUGCGAAAGCGUGGGGAGCAAACAGGAUUAGAUACCCCUGUAGUCCCUGUCUCUUAUAC
This 301-nucleotide ribosomal RNA is filed under the name uncultured bacterium. RNAcentral's name for it is "partial 16S ribosomal RNA". It matches the Rfam family "Bacterial small subunit ribosomal RNA", at positions 509 to 807 of the family's 1533-position model. The record is from RNAcentral.